UCCGGUUUGACACCGGCAGUCUCCCUAGAGUGCCCGGCAUAACCCGCUGGUAACUAGGGACGAGGGUUGCGCUCGUUGCGGGACUUAACCCAACAUCUCACGACACGAGCUGACGACAGCCAUGCAGCAUCUGUGCACGCUCCCUUGCUGGUCCCUUGGCUUACACCUCAGUACCACGUGCAUGUCAAGCCGAGGUAAGGUUCUGCGCGUUGCAUCGAAUUAAACCACAUGCUCCUCCGCUUGUGCGGGCCCCCGUCAAUUCCUUUGAGUUUCACCGUUGCCGGCGUACUCCCCAGGUGGAUUACUUAUCGCUUUCGCUAAGCCACUAAAAGUUGCCCUCUAGCAGCGAGUAAUCAUCGUUUACAGUGUGGACUAC
Molecule: unclassified non-coding RNA, 376 nt
Filed under: uncultured bacterium
Lineage: Bacteria
Description: contains 16S-23S intergenic spacer region
Source: RNAcentral